Molecule: ribosomal RNA, 819 nt
Filed under: uncultured eukaryote
Lineage: Eukaryota
Description: SSU rRNA
Rfam family: Eukaryotic small subunit ribosomal RNA
Source: RNAcentral
CGGUGUUUAACUGGCGUGAUGUGGGACGUCCUACCGGUGGGCUUAGCCUCGCGAGGGGCGGCCCAACUAAUAUCCCGUCGCGGUGCUCUUUACUGGGUGUCGAGUCGGGCCGGUACGUUUACUUUGAACAAAUUAGAGUGCUUAAAGCAGGCUAUCCUCGCCUGAAUACUGCGUGCAUGGAAUAAUGGAAUAGGACCUCGGUUCUAUUUUGUUGGUUUUCGGAACCCCGAGGUAAUGAUUAAUAGGGACAGAUGGGGGCAUUCGUAUUGCGACGUUAGAGGUGAAAUUCUUGGAUCGUCGCAAGACGGACAGAAGCGAAAGCAUUUGCCAAAAAUGUUUUCAUUAAUCAAGAACGAAAGUUAGAGGUUCGAAGGCGAUCAGAUACCGCCCUAGUUCUAACCAUAAACGAUGCCAGCUAGCGAUCCGCCGAAGUUCCUCCGAUGACUCGGCGGGCAGCUUCCGGGAAACCAAAGCUUUUGGGUUCCGGGGGAAGUAUGGUUGCAAAGCUGAAACUUAAAGGAAUUGACGGAAGGGCACCACCAGGAGUGGAGCCUGCGGCUUAAUUUGACUCAACACGGGAAACCUCACCAGGCCCAGACACCGGAAGGAUUGACAGAUUGAUAGCUCUUUCUUGAUUCGGUGGGUGGUGGUGCAUGGCCGUUCUUAGUUGGUGGAGCGAUUUGUCUGGUUAAUUCCGAUAACGAACGAGACUCUAGCCUGCUAAAUAGGCGUACCUUAUGGUAUCGCGAAGGCCCCCGGCUUCGGCCGGUGGGUUUUUACUACCAACGUACAAACAAAUCUUCUUAGAGGGACAGGCGG